GACGAACGCUGGCGGCGUGCUUAACACAUGCAAGUCGAACGGAAAGGCCCUGCUUUUGUGGGGUGCUCGAGUGGCGAACGGGUGAGUAACACGCGAGUAACCUGCCCCUGACUGUGGGAUAACUUCAGGAAACUGGGGCUAAUACCGGGUAGGAGCUCCUGCUGCAUGGUGGUGGUUGGAAAGAUUCGGCGGUUGGGGAUGGUCUCGCGGCUUAUCAGCUUGUUGGUGGGGUAGUGGCUUACCAGGGCUUUGACGGGUAGCCGGCCUGAGAGGGUGACCGGCCACAUUGGGACUGAGAUACGGCCCAGAAGCCUACGGGAGGCAGCAGUGGGGAAUAUUGCAGAAUGGGCGGAAGCCUGAUGCAGCAACGCCGCGUGCGGGAUGACGGCCUUCGAGUUGUAAACCGCUUUCGCCUGUGACGAAGAGUGAGUGACGGUAAUGGGUAAAGAAGCACCGGCUAACUACGUG
Molecule: ribosomal RNA, 468 nt
Filed under: uncultured bacterium
Lineage: Bacteria
Description: partial 16S ribosomal RNA
Rfam family: Bacterial small subunit ribosomal RNA
Source: RNAcentral